RNAcentral lists this ribosomal RNA (148 nucleotides) under Tramea calverti. RNAcentral describes it as "5.8S ribosomal RNA". It matches the Rfam family "5.8S ribosomal RNA". Rfam says of the family: 5.8S ribosomal RNA (5.8S rRNA) is a component of the large subunit of the eukaryotic ribosome. It is transcribed by RNA polymerase I as part of the 45S precursor that also contains 18S and 28S rRNA. The record is from RNAcentral. Lineage: Eukaryota; Metazoa; Arthropoda; Insecta; Odonata; Libellulidae.
CGGUGGAUCACUCGGCUCGUGGAUCGAUAAAAAACGCACGNNNACUGCGCGUCGAGUGUGAACUGCAGGACACAUGAACAUCGACGUUUCUAACGCACAUUGCGGCCCAAGGAUCCCAUUCCCGGGCCACGCCUGGCUGAGGGCAGGC